AUUGAACGCUGGCGGCAUGCUUUACACAUGCAAGUCGAGCGGCAGCGCGGGGGCAACCCUGGCGGCGAGCGGCGAACGGGUGAGUAAUGCAUCGGAACGUAUCCUCGAGUGGGGGAUAACCCAGCGAAAGUUGGGCUAAUACCGCAUGAGCUCUGAGGAGGAAAGCGGGGGACCUGCGAGGGCCUCGCGCUGGAGGAGCGGCCGAUGCCCGAUUAGCUAGUUGGUGGGGUAAAGGCUUACCAAGGCGACGAUCGGUAGCUGGUCUGAGAGGAUGAUCAGCCACACUGGGACUGAGACACGGCCCAGACUCCUACGGGAGGCAGCAGUGGGGAAUUUUGGACAAUGAGGGCAACCCUGAUCCAGCCAUGCCGCGUGAGUGAAGAAGGCCUUCGGGUUGUAAAGCUCUUUCGGACGGAACGAAAUGGGCGGGACUAAUACUCCUGUCUGAUGACGGUACCGUAAGAAGAAGCACCGGCUAACUACGUG
This 486-nucleotide ribosomal RNA is filed under the name uncultured bacterium. Its description in RNAcentral is "partial 16S ribosomal RNA". It matches the Rfam family "Bacterial small subunit ribosomal RNA", at positions 29 to 507 of the family's 1533-position model. The record is from RNAcentral.